GAAAAAUGGAGAAGUCUGACGGAGCACGCCGCGUGAGUGAUGAAGGUUUUCGGAUCGUAAAACUCUGUUGUUAGGGAAGAACAAGUACCGUUCGAAUAGGGCGGCACCUUGACGGUACCUAACCAGAAAGCCACGGCUAACUACGUGCCAGCAGCCGCGGUAAUU
Molecule: ribosomal RNA, 165 nt
Filed under: Bacillus licheniformis
Lineage: Bacteria; Bacillati; Bacillota; Bacilli; Caryophanales; Bacillaceae
Description: partial 16S ribosomal RNA
Rfam family: Bacterial small subunit ribosomal RNA
Source: RNAcentral